This 27-nucleotide small RNA is filed under the name Arabidopsis thaliana (thale cress). RNAcentral describes it as "ATSL242360". Lineage: Eukaryota; Viridiplantae; Streptophyta; Magnoliopsida; Brassicales; Brassicaceae. The record is from RNAcentral.
AAAUAAAUACAGAAAAAUCAAAAAAAA